Molecule: long non-coding RNA, 377 nt
Filed under: Phascolarctos cinereus (koala)
Lineage: Eukaryota; Metazoa; Chordata; Mammalia; Diprotodontia; Phascolarctidae
Description: lncRNA (ENSPCIG00000012431.2)
Source: RNAcentral
GGAGACAUCUUCAAGGAAUAAUGCCCCAUCGAUGUUCCCUCAUAAGACCUCACCUGAAGUAUAGUGUCUCACUUUCCUCAUCUCCAAAAGGAAAGGGUUGUAGUCCUUGAAUUCAAAGAUCCUGUCCAUCUUUCAACCUCUGACCCAUUGACCUGUACUCAGAGAGAGUGAAAACCAGGGUCCUAAGGUGUGAAUUCCACAGACCUACAACCAGGUCUCCAUAUAAAUGGAAAUCAAGCUUGGUUUCCUCUCAGAUUCUUCUCUGUGUCUAUAUCAAGGGAAGAGAUCUUUCCCUCUGCACAAGAAUAUCCCGGGAACAUCAUUGGAAGCUCUUCAGAAAUAAAAAUUUUCUGCUCCUAUUUAGAUCUCUCUAUGAA